CUGUAGCAUGCCGUGCAAUAAGUAUAUUAAUUAAUUGAUUAAAUCCUAACGCCCUGCAUAUUACAGAGAAUGCACUUUAUAAGCAAGGUAAAAUGAUUUUAGAGGACAGAGUUUACGUUUCUAAAAUUGUGUCUGACUUAAGAAAGUCAGUUUACGAGACAACUCUUCGAGGUUUAUACGAUAGUUCAAACUG
Molecule: long non-coding RNA, 193 nt
Organism: Zophobas morio
Lineage: Eukaryota; Metazoa; Arthropoda; Insecta; Coleoptera; Tenebrionidae
Exons: 2
Source: RefSeq, a predicted model, not a curated record